UGAAUACGAGACGCUAAGGCGUCGAAGUAGUGUAUGUCAUACUUCCAAGAAAAGCUUGCACUGUCAUAGAUAAAAAACGCCUGUACCAUAACCGACACAGGUGGGUAGGUAGAGUAUACUAAGGGGCGCGAGAUAACUCUCUCUAAGGAACUCGGCAAAAUAACUCCGUAACUUCGGGAGAAGGAGUGCCUUAUUCGUAAGGUUGCAAUAACAAGAUCCAAGCAACUGUUUAUCAAAAACACAGGUCUCCGCUAAGUCGUAAGACGAUGUAUGGGGGCUGACGCCUGCCCAGUGCCAGAAGGUUAAAGAAGUUGGUUAGCAAUUGCGAAGCUGAUAACUGAAGCCCUGGUGAACGGCGGCCGUAACUAUAACGGUCCUAAGGUAGCGAAAUUCCUUGUCGGGUAAGUUCCGACCCGCACGAAAGGCGUAAUGAUUUGGAUACUGUCUCGGAGAGGGGCUCGGUGAAAUAGACUUGUCUGUGAAGAUGCGGACUACCUGCACCAGGACAGAAAGACCCUAUGAAGCUUUACUGUAACUUGAAAUUGAAAUUGGACUUUAUUCGCGCAGUAUAGGUGGGAGGCGUUGAUUAUAAUCUUGUGGGAUUAUUGGAGCCAUCAGUGAGAUACCACUCUUGUAAUGUUAGAUUUCUAACUUUGAAUCAUUAUCUGGUCAAAGAACAGUUUCAGGCGGGCAGUUUGACUGGGGCGGUCGCCUCCUAAACGGUAACGGAGGCGUACAAAGGUUUCCUCUGAACGGUUAGAAAUCGUAUCUAGAGUGUAAAGGCAUAAGGAAGCUUGACUGUGAGACCUACAAGUCGAGCAGGGACGAAAGUCGGUCUUAGUGAUCUGACGGUACUGAGUGGAAAGGCCGUCACUCAACGGAUAAAAGUUACUCUAGGAUAACAGGCUGAUCUCCCCCAAGAGUUCACAUCGACGGGGAGGUUUGGCACCUCGAUGUCGGCUCAUCGCAUCCUGGGGCGGUAGUACGUCCCAAGGGUUGGGCUGUUCGCCCAUGAAAGCGGUACGCGAGCUGGGUUCAGAACGUCGUGAGACAGUUCGGUCCAUAUCCGGUGUAGGCGUUAGAAUAUUGAGAGGAGCCUUCUUUAGUACGAGAGGACCGAGAAGGACAUACCUCUGGUGUACCAGUUAUCGUGCCAACGGUAAACGCUGGGUAGCUAUGUAUGGAGUGGAUAACCGCUGAGAGCAUCUAAGUGGGAAGCCCACCUCAAGAUAAGUAUUCUCAU
Molecule: ribosomal RNA, 1243 nt
Filed under: metagenome
Description: bacterial LSU rRNA
Rfam family: Bacterial large subunit ribosomal RNA
Source: RNAcentral